RNAcentral lists this ribosomal RNA (253 nucleotides) under uncultured bacterium. RNAcentral's name for it is "partial 16S ribosomal RNA". It matches the Rfam family "Bacterial small subunit ribosomal RNA", at positions 524 to 776 of the family's 1533-position model. The record is from RNAcentral.
GACAGAGGGUGCGAACGUUGCUCGGAAUGACUGGGCGUAAAGCGCGUGUAGGCGGUCCCGCGAGUCUGGUGUGAAAGCCCGGGGCUCAACCCCGGACGGGCAUCGGAUACUACGGGGCUGGAGUGCUGGAGAGGAGAGCGGAAUUCCCGGUGUAGAGGUGAAAUUCGUAGAUAUCGGGAGGAACACCAGUGGCGAAGGCGGCUCUCUGGACAGCGACUGACGCUGAGACGCGAAAGCGUGGGUAGCAAACAGG